This 129-nucleotide ribosomal RNA is filed under the name Clostridium sp. RNAcentral describes it as "partial 23S ribosomal RNA". It matches the Rfam family "Bacterial large subunit ribosomal RNA", at positions 2795 to 2925 of the family's 2925-position model. The record is from RNAcentral. Lineage: Bacteria; Bacillati; Bacillota; Clostridia; Eubacteriales; Clostridiaceae.
UUUCCCAUAACUCGCACGUAAGUGCGGUGUUAGUAAGACUCCUGGAAGAACACCAGGUUGAUAGGUUAGAGGUGUAAGCAUGGUAACAUGUUCAGCUGACUAAUACUAAUAAGUCGAGGGCUUGACCAA